This 465-nucleotide ribosomal RNA is filed under the name uncultured bacterium. RNAcentral's name for it is "partial 16S ribosomal RNA". It matches the Rfam family "Bacterial small subunit ribosomal RNA", at positions 28 to 507 of the family's 1533-position model. The record is from RNAcentral.
GACGAACGCUGGCGGCGUGCUUAACACAUGCAAGUCGAACGGAAAGGCCCUGCUUGCAGGGUACUCGAGUGGCGAACGGGUGAGUAACACGUGGGUGAUCUGCCCUGCACUUCGGGAUAAGCCUGGGAAACUGGGUCUAAUACCGGAUAGGAGCCAUUUUUAGUGUGAUGGUUGGAAAGUUUUUUCGGUGUAGGAUGAGCUCGCGGCCUGUCAGCUUGUUGGUGGGGUAAUGGCCUACCAAGGCGGCGACGGGUAGCCGGCCUGAGAGGGUGGACGGCCACAUUGGGACUGAGAUACGGCCCAGACUCCUACGGGAGGCAGCAGUGGGGAAUAUUGCACAAUGGGCGCAAGCCUGAUGCAGCGACGCCGCGUGGGGGAGGACGGCCUUCGGGUUGUAAACUCCUUUCGCUAGGGACGAAGCUUUUUGUGACGGUACCUAGAGAAGAAGCACCGGCUAACUACGUG